ACAUUGAAAGCGGCAUUUGUUCGAAAUUAACUGUACGUACGCAAUGCGAAAAAAGCAACAAUUGUUCUGAAAUCUAGAAGUUUCAUUGUAAAGUGUCUUUUUAUGUCAAUUGUCAAUUGAGUUGUGAAUGUUUGAAUGUGAUACAAACUUUAAGUGAGCCCGAGAAUGUCUGCGAAGAGUUCAAUUCAGGUGUGCAUCAAGGUGCGCCCCUGCGAGGCCGGCGAUUCCUCUGUGUGGGAAGUAAAGGAGGGCCGCUCCAUACAUCUUAUUGACAGCCAAGCCGAUCCGUGCGUCUUCGACUAUGUAUUCGACCAGACUGCACACAAUCAGGAGGUAUUUGACCGCAUGGCCAAGCAUAUCGUCCAUGCAUGCAUGCAGGGCUUCAACGGCACUAUUUUUGCCUAUGGCCAGACGUCAUCAGGCAAAACCUACACAAUGAUGGGAGACAACCAGAACCUCGGUGUUAUGGUACUGGCCGCUAAGGAAAUAUUUAAGCAGAUAGCCAACGAAAACGAUCGCGACUUUCUGCUGCGUGUGGGCUAUAUUGAGAUCUAUAACGAGAAGAUCUAUGACCUUUUAAACAAAAAGAACCAGGAUCUGAAGAUACACGAGGCAGGGAAUGGCAUCGUGAACGUGAACUGCGAGGAAUGUAUUAUAACGAGCGAAUCGGAUCUGUUGCGCUUCCUUUGCAUGGGCAACAAGGAGCGCACAGUGGGCGAAACCAAUAUGAACGAGCGUUCCAGUCGCUCCCAUGCCAUCUUUCGUAUCAUCAUUGAGUCGCGCAAGAGCGAUCGCACUGACGACGAUGCCGUCAUUCAGAGCGUCCUGAAUUUGGUAGACUUGGCCGGUUCGGAGCGGGCAGAUCAGACGGGUGCGCGCGGUGCUCGCCUCAAGGAGGGCGGCCACAUCAACAAGAGUCUGCUGUUCCUCAGCAAUGUGAUCAAGAAUUUGUCUGAAAACGUUGACAACAAGUACAUAAGCUUCCGCGACUCCAAGUUGACGCGAAUACUGCAAGCCUCGCUGGGCGGCAACGCCUUUACGUCCAUAAUAUGCACCAUCAAACCCUCGAUCAUCGAGGAGUCGCAGUCGACCAUCAAUUUCGCCAUGCGUGCCAAGAAGAUCCGCAUCAAGCCCGAGGUCAACGAGAUGGUGUCCGAUGCCACAAUGAUGAAGCGACUGGAGCGUGAGAUUAAGGAGCUGAAGGACCGCCUGGCCGAGGAGCAGCGCAAGAACGAGAGCCAGCUCAAGGUGAAGCAGCUUGAGAACCGCAUUCAGAACGACAUGCACAAGAUCAUUACCAGCAACUCGCUGAACGACAAGCGGUUGCAGAAGCGUCGCCGCACCUGGUGUCCUGCCACCUCCAUACCAGAGGGUGGCCUGCCCACACCGCUGUCCUGCAUUCCGGCCGAGCCCAGCCAGGAGCGGCAAUCGAAGGUGUCACAGCUGCCAAAGCCCGUUUUCUUUCCCAACUCUCACAUCAGCCACCGCGCCGACAACGGUCCCAAGACCGUAAAUAUAAUGAAGUCGCUGGACAUUGGCACGGAUGAGGAGUUCGCGCCAGCGGAGCUUAUAGACUUUGGUUGCGGGCCAUCGGAUGCACUGAGGACGAGAGAGCAAAGCAGGGUGCUGCCAGCGCUGGCUCUAACGCCCAACAUUGGGCAGAUGGGAGUGGCAAGCUUGGUGGAGAAAACGAAAAACGAUCGCUUGGAGCUGCAAAUGUUCACCUCGUUAGAGAAGCACUUUGAAGGGGACUGGGAAAAUUCGCAGGCUCUGACAGCGAAGCUGUCCGAGGUCACAGCCCAGCGGGAUGAGCUAGAGUCAGAGAGCCAAAAGAAUGCACAGCGAUGCGAUGCCCUGCAGGCCGAGCUACAGGCAGCCAAUGCCAAGAACUUGGAGUACGAGGAGCAGCUGAAAACCAUGAAGGAGACCAUGCAGAAGUUGGAGUUGGACAACCGUGAGGCUGUUAGCUUGGAGUUCGAAUAUCAGUCCCACAAAACCAAGUCAAAGCUGCGAGAGACGGAUCUACUGUCGGCCCUGUCCGAGAAGGAUUUAACCAUCGAGAAUCUGCAGAAAAGUCUCGACGAAUUGUCUCGCGAUGUCCUGCGCAACAGCAAGGAGGAACAGAUGCGCUCCCCCAUAGUGGAUACAUCGCUGCCCGAGACAAUCUGCGACAAGUGUGUGGAAUUUGAACGUCUGCUGGCCGAUGUCAACGCAAAGCUGGAGAGCGUUCAGCUGUCCUUUAGCCAGAAGACCGAGGACUGUGAACGCCUCAACAUUCUAAUAUCCACAGCCCAUGAUGACAUGGCUGUUCUGCAGGGAAAGUACGAUGGGCUGGAGCUGAAUUGGCAGAGCCAGCAGCAGGCCAUUCAAGCCAUGGAGGCAGACUGCAAUGAACUCCAGCAGAAGUUCCAAAAGCUGCAGCAGGAAUACGAGGAUUUGGGACGAACCUCCAAGGCCAACAAAGAUCAGUGCCUGCAGCUGGAGGCCGAAAACACGGCACUUCAGGCGGAGAUUGUCACACUCAAAGAGCGCGUGGAGGAGGCGCAGCGCUUGCUCUUGGAAACUAGUAAUGAAAAGGCCUUCGCGGAGCAACUGAAAGCGCAAAAUGAAGAGCUCAAAAAAGAGCUUUCGGAGGUGCAGUCGAGCUUCCAGGAAAUGCAGCGCGAAUAUGACUGCUUGUCCAACGAGCUAAUGGAGAGCGUAGAGGAGUGUGAUAGCUUGCGUAGCGAGUGCAACGCUUUGCGAGAGGAGCUGAAGCAGCGCUCCAUGCCCAGUUAUGACAUCGAGUCCAUGAAGAGCUCUGGCGUCGGCACAGAGUGCAGUGAGGCUGAUCUAGAGUCGGAGACAGAUAGCGGAUUUUUGGAGAAGUUUGCCAAGCUGUCAGAUUCGCUGCACGAGAUCGAGCUGCAGCACCGCUCGGGCUGCAGUCGCCUCUUCAGGGCUACCAAGAUUCAGGAGCACAAUGUGCCCGGGCUGAAGCUCUGCCUCGAGUCUGCUACAGACAUACACACCGUCGCGCACACGCUCAAUGACGAUGCAGCCGAUUCCGUGUGCCUGAAGGGCGUGCUGCGACAGCAUAGGUUCCAGAUCAUCAGGCUGACCCAGGAGUCUGCACCCGCUCAAGAAGAUGCGGAGAAGAGACGCCUGCUCGACCACAUUGCUCAGCUGGAGAAUGAGAUUGCGCAGAAGAACAUGCUGAUCGAUGCCACGGAGGGAAAUAUCAACGAGAUGCGCGAACAGAUGACCAACCUGGAGUCGGCGCUACUGGAGAAGUCGGUGAUAGUCAACAAGGUGGAGUCGUAUCAGCGACAGAUCGAGUCUCUAGAGAAGCAGAAUGCUGAGAUAACCAUCGUCUGUGAGGAGCUGCAGGAGAAGGUGAAGGAGAACACAAUGAGCGAGAGCCUCAUGCUAAGUCCUGGCGACGAUACGCUGCCCGGCAACACAUCCACCCCUUUGAUGCUACAGGACCAGGAGUCCGCAGAGAUAGCUGCCCUCAAGGCAUCCCUUUCCGAGCUGAUGGACAAAGUCGCUGAGCUGCAAGGCAAAGUGGAGAACCAACUGUCUCAGAUGCAGCAAAAGGACAACCACAUCGAUGUGCUGCGUGCAGAAAUUGAGGAGCUGAACGAGCGCUGCAUAUCCAUGGAGGUGAAGCAGGUGGAACUUCAGUCGAAUGCCAGCCAGCAGCAGCAGCUCCUCGAACGACAAGCUGAGAAAUUGUCAGACGACGUGCGACGCAUCGAUCAGCUGCAGGAAACCAACGCGAAGCUCGUAGAGCGCAGCAUCAAGGCGGAAGACUCCCUGACGGUGAUGCAGGAGCGUUUGCUUCACGACAAUCGCAUCGAGAGCCUGGAAGAAUCACUGAAGAGUGCCAGAGAUCGCGUCGAAACGCUUGAGGAAGAGCUGAAGAGUGGCAGAGAUUGCAUCGAGGCUCGCGAAGAGGACCUGAAGAGUGCCGGAUAUCGUAUCCAUACGCUUGAGGAAGACCUAAAGAUUGCCAGAGAUCGCGUCGAAGCGCUUGAGGACGAGCUGAAGAGUGGCAGAGAAGGCAAGGAGACGCUUGAGAAAGAGCUGAAGAGUGCCGGAGAUCGCGUCGAAAAGCUUGAAGAAGAGCUGAAGAGUGCCAAAGAUCGCAUCGAGGCUAGUGAGGAAGACCUGAAGAGUGCCAGAGAUUGCAUCAAAACGCUUGAGGAAGACCUGAAGAAUGGCAGAGAUCGCAUCGUGACCUUGGAAGAAUCCAUAAAGAGUGCCAGAGAUCACAUCGAGACGCUCGAGCGGGACCUGCACAGUGCCAGAGAUGUAAUAGACGCCAAUGAGAAGCAGAAAACGGACGAGCUGAACGCCCUGAAGCUCGAGUAUCUUGAUAAAAUAGAGCAAAGCGAGAACGAAUAUCGCAGCAACUUCCGCAAAUACAACGCGGAAUGGGAGGAGGGCAAGGAACGCUACGAACAAAGCGUGUCCAGGCUGAUGGCAGACCAAGCCAAGGCAGCAGCUCAACAUCAGGCAGAGCUAGAGGACAUCAGAACAGAGCAGAAUGCGGUCUUGGAACAGCUGAAGCAGGAGAAGCUCGAGCUGGAGUCGCUGUACGCGAAGAGCCAGGAAUUGGUGGCGAAGCUACAAUUGCAGCUCAACGCCCGAGACCGCAGCUCCACCGAACUGCUAGAUGAUAUGACAGCCACUGCACAGCAGCGGAUUCAGGAGCUUGAAGAGCGAUGUGAGAAGCACAUUUUGGAUUAUGAACAGCUGCGUUCGAAAUUCCAAUCAGACUUGGAAAAGCUGACAGAGGAGAAGGUGGCCCUGCAUUCCGAAAUGAAAGAUGUGGAGGCGCAGCACACGAUCACUUUGGAGAAGAUUCAUCUGCUGGAGCAGCAUCUGGAGACACUAAGCAAACAGACAUGCUCCGAGAAGGCUGAACUACUCGACAAAAUUGAGACUUUCACGUUGAAGAACAGUGACCUGAGUGCAGAGCUGAAGCGGGUUCAAAAGAAGGCUCGGGACUUUGACGACUUAUUCUCCCAGCAUCAGCAGUUGCAGGCAUGCUUGUCCGAAGCCACAGGGGUCAACAUUUCGUUAAGAGAACAAGUGGAGAGUCUUCAGUGUGAGCUCAACAGUGCCCAGGAAAAACAGAGCAAACAAAACGUUGAAAUCGAAGAACUUCGAUCGAAGCUGAAGGGCGCUUUGGAAGCACAGACCUUUGCGAGCACACAGGAGACUGUUCUGAAAAAUCAGCUGCAGGAAAUGGAAGCCAAGAUGAUUGCUGAGUCCGUGGUGUUCAAACGGGAGGUGGAAGGAUUGAGGGGCGCAAGGAACGAGCUAGAGCUGAAGCUGAAUUCGCUGAAAGAGAGUAAAGCGAAGUUGGAGUCGAGCAAUAAAGACCUGGAAGUGACAAUGAAAAAUGCCAAAAACCUUCAAUCUUUGCUGCAAGAGGAGCAAGAACUGUGUUCUAAUUUGCGCGACGUCUCCGAAAAACUGGAGGAAUCCAAUGCGCAGCUUGUGGCUCAACUUAAGGAAAAGGAUGCAGCUUGUGCGUCCCUCCAGGAUUCCGUGUCUCAGCAGAAAUUGGCACUCGAAGAAGCCAACAAGAAAUGCUCGGAAGUGCAGCAGGCCCAACAGUCAGUGGAGGAACUCAAAAAUGAAUGUGAAAUGCUGCGAACAACUCUGCAAACCAAAGAAGAGCAGAUUUGUACGUUGACCAAAAAGGCUGAAUCUAAUUCGGAGCUAGAGGAUCAACUUAAAUUGAGGGAGACAGAACGUAACUCUCUUCGCGUAGCAUUGGUGCAGCAGGAAAAACUGCUUGAAGAAAUGAGCCAGCAAGCUGACGAGGCUCGGAAGUCAGUAGCUGAGCAGACUAACGAGUGUAAAAGGCUACAAAUGGCACUGAGCACCCUUGAGUCGGAGCGUGAUUCUUUGCGUAAUACAGUGGCGCAGCAGGACCAAACUAACGCUGAAACUAAAAAGCAAUUGAUGGAAAUGCAACAGAAAGAUGAAAACAGUCAAAAGUCAGUGACGGCACUCAACAAAGAAUGCGACAGGCUACGCACAACAAUGAAAAAGACUGAGACUAAUUAUCGCACUGAAAGGGAACGCCUAAACGCCACUGUGUCAAGUCUUUUGGAGGACAAGCGAAACCUAGAAGAAAAGCUGUGCACUCUGAAUGAAAUUAUGGAGAAACUACAGGCCGACUUGACUGCUCUUCAGGGACUCAAAGCGAACGCCAGCAAUGCCUCCUUUGAGUCCAAUGCAUCCAGCACGUCGCCGGCUUCCACAGAUCGCCUUGCUGUUCCCAGGAAAUCUAUAAGCUUUGAGUCUGACAUGCGUAAGAACCGACGCCUAAGUGUACACGAUGAUCGUCGCAGGCAGUCCUACUGGAACAAUGUGCGUGAUUGGGGAACCAUGACGGAUCCUGUGGACAACAAUUGCAACUGUGUGGAGCUCAACCGCAAGCUGCAGGAAUGCCAGCGAGAUCUCUUUAUACGGGAGAGCCAGGUGACUGCGUUGAACAUCGAGCUCAAGAACCAUCCACUUAAGGAGGAGAAUGCACAGCUUCGUAAACGUCUUUUGGAGGACCAGGAAAAAGCGCGUGCCGAAGUGAAACGUCUUAAAAUGAAGAAUCAAGAUCUCACUAGCCGUAUCAAUGAUUUGACUGCCGCGGCAGCUGCAUCAGAGUCUCUGCAAGCGGCCCAAGGCCAAGCAUGCAGAAUAACUCCCGCGAUGACCUCGGUAGAUACACAGACGGAGUCUGACUUGGAGACGGUGCUGGAAAAGAUAAACCAAAAGUAUCAAGACUCACUUAAGUUGUGCCGUUUCCGCUACUCUCUGAUCCAAGAUUUGGAGCAGAGACUAAAGCAAAACGAAAACACCGACACCUCCAACAUGACAUCCCUCACAGCCGGUCAAAUCAAUGCACUGAAGACCCAAUGCGAGUCGCAAAAGAAGGAACUGUCUGCCAUGAACGAGAAGUACGAGUACGCGAAACGUGUGCUGAAGAUGCGCAAAGAUGAGGUGGUCGAGAUGCGAAACAAAAUAGCUGCAUACGAAGCAGCCUCUUCAGCUAAAUAAGUCAUUAGAUUUAGCCUAGCUUAGUUGUAUAUAUUAUAAUCGUCAGUUCUUUAUGCCCGUAUCAAGAUCAAAUCGUAAUUCCAUUUAUUUAUUCUAUGUGAAAUCGAAACUUUCAAUAUUUUUGUGGACAUGUAUCGAAUACACAGCUACGCUGCCUAUUGCAUAUUUAUGUGCGAAUCAAAAAUUAUACGCUCCUUAAGAAUUAUGCUUUCCUCUUUAUUUCUGUACUUACAAAUGUGAUAUGAUGAAGCAACAGGUACUUGGGGUAAUACUUACUUUAAUGUGUUGAUCUGAGGAUCAAAUGUACCUGAAUCGAAGAAAAGAAUCUCUCCGUAAGUGUGCAGCAGAUGGAAACAAAAGAUACAACAGUAUUGUUCUUCAUAACGCGGCUUUAUUGUAAUU
RNA transcript from Drosophila subobscura, 7458 nucleotides. It is a transcript of the gene named kinesin-like protein KIN-7N, with no coding region annotated. The transcript has 13 exons. The record is from RefSeq and is a predicted model, not a curated record. Lineage: Eukaryota; Metazoa; Arthropoda; Insecta; Diptera; Drosophilidae.